This 592-nucleotide ribosomal RNA is filed under the name uncultured bacterium. Its description in RNAcentral is "bacterial SSU rRNA". It matches the Rfam family "Bacterial small subunit ribosomal RNA", at positions 56 to 651 of the family's 1533-position model. The record is from RNAcentral.
UGCAGUCGUGCGACGGACCUUCUGGGGUUACCCAGAGGGUUACGGAGCGGCGGACGGCCGAGUAACGCGUAAGCAACCUGCCCCUCGGAGGGGGAUAACCCUCUGAAAAGGGGGCUAAUACCCCAUACGCUUAGGGAGGCGCAUGUCUCCUUAAGGAAAGGAAGGAAACUUCCGCCGAGGGAGGGGCUUGCGUCCUAUCAGCUAGUUGGUGAGGUAACGGCUCACCAAGGCGAUGACGGGUAGCUGGCCUGAGAGGGUGGUCAGCCGGACUGGGACUGAGACACGGCCCAGACUCCUACGGGAGGCAGCAGGGCGGAAUCUUGCGCAAUGCCCGAAAGGGUGACGCAGCGACGCCGCGUGAGGGAUGAAGCCCUUCGGGGUGUAAACCUCUUUUGCAGGGGAAGAAGUUCUGACGGUACCCUGCGAAUAAGUCCCGGCCAAUUACGUGCCAGCAGCCGCGGUAAAACGUGAGGGGCGAACGUUGUCCGGAAUCACUGGGCGUAAAGGGUACGCAGGCGGUGGAGAAAGUCGGGUGUGAAAGCCUCAGGCUUAACCUGAGGGGGACGCUCGAUACUUCUCCACUUUGAGGAAG